RNAcentral lists this transfer RNA (68 nucleotides) under Marmota monax (woodchuck). Its description in RNAcentral is "tRNA.Ala". Lineage: Eukaryota; Metazoa; Chordata; Mammalia; Rodentia; Sciuridae. The record is from RNAcentral.
GGUUAUAGCUCAGUUGAUAGAGUGCUUGCCUUGCAUGCACAAGGCUCUGGGUUCAAUCCCUAGCACCA